GUGCCAGCAGCCGCGGUAAUACGUAGGGGCAAGGUCGUUAUCCGGAUUUACUGGGUGUAAAGGGAGCGUAGACGGGACAGCAAGUCUGAUGUGAAAGGCGGGGCUCAACCCCGAACUGCAUUGGAAACUGUUGACCUGGAGUGCUUCACACCGUUGCGGAACGCUCCCUACCAAUACAUGAUUAAAAUCAUUUAUUCCACAGCUUCGGUAGACUGCUUAGCCCGGUCGACGCGGCCG
This 237-nucleotide ribosomal RNA is filed under the name uncultured bacterium. Its description in RNAcentral is "partial 16S ribosomal RNA". It matches the Rfam family "Bacterial small subunit ribosomal RNA", at positions 505 to 707 of the family's 1533-position model. The record is from RNAcentral.